RNAcentral lists this ribosomal RNA (469 nucleotides) under uncultured bacterium. RNAcentral's name for it is "partial 16S ribosomal RNA". It matches the Rfam family "Bacterial small subunit ribosomal RNA", at positions 28 to 507 of the family's 1533-position model. The record is from RNAcentral.
GACGAACGCUGGCGGCGUGCUUAACACAUGCAAGUCGAACGGAAAGGCCCUGCUUGCAGGGUGCUCGAGUGGCGAACGGGUGAGUAACACGUGGGUGAUCUGCCCCUUACUUUGGGAUAAGCCUGGGAAACUGGGUCUAAUACUGGAUAGGACCAUGCUGUAGGUGGUGUGGUGGAAAGAUUAGUUUCGGUAAGGGAUGAGCUCGCGGCCUAUCAGCUUGUUGUUGGGGUAAUGGGCUACCAAGGCGUCGACGGGUAGCCGGACUGAGAGGGUGGUCGGCCACAUUGGGACUGAGAUACGGCCCAGAAUCCUACGGGAGGCAGCAGUGGGGAAUAGUGCACAAUGGGAGCAAGACUGAUGCAGCGACGCCGCGUGGGGGAUGACGGCCUUCGGGUUGUAAACUCCUUUCAGCCAUGACGAAGCCCUUGUGGUGACGGUAGUGGUAGAAGAAGCACCGGCUAACUACGUG